This 698-nucleotide long non-coding RNA is filed under the name Arabidopsis lyrata. RNAcentral describes it as "long non-coding RNA (ALYR_LNC003148)". The record is from RNAcentral. Lineage: Eukaryota; Viridiplantae; Streptophyta; Magnoliopsida; Brassicales; Brassicaceae.
AAAAGGGGGAAAAGGGUUGAGUAAAGAAUACUCAGUGAGAGGAAUCAACUCUGCCCACUGAAACAUAGAACAUUUUCUUAAGCUAUACAACCAUCAUCAUAACAUAUAAACUUAGACACUAGCAAUCACAUAACAUACCUUACUUACUAAACAUUCAUAACAUUCAUCUUAACCAUACAUACAUCGUUAGGUCCAGUCAUCCUCGUGAUGACCAGAACCUCCUGAGUGGAGGCUGGCCCUCGUGGCUCAGACACUCCCAUUCCGGGCUCGUCAGCCGUUCUUGACCAGCUGUUAACCCGUCGGUCCAUCACUGUCCAUCAUUCAUACAUACUCAUAAUCAUACUUAACAUUCUCAUACAUAACAUCACUUUAAUAAACAUCAUACUAACAAAUAUCAAACUAAACAAUCAUCAAGUCAUAUCAUCACAUAAUCUUAUCAUAUACAAUCAGAUCUAAGCCUACAUAUCAUGCGUCAAGAAGCAUAACAAAAGAAACGACACUAUGCUUCGCAAAUACCACCCUCACCUUGGUCACUUGAUGAUAACAACUCACUUCUCCUUUCUUCUCCUUUAGACCAAUUUAGUACAAGGCUUUCAUUGCUCACUCUUGGGAUCCAUCUUGGCUCUCCUUCAACAAAUACUUAAGCCCACAAUUCAUGAAGCCUCCUGCAAGGUCUCAUCUCAAACCGAGCUCAUUUA